GGGAAUUCGAUUAGAGUUUGAUCCUGGCUCAGAUUGAACGCUGGCGGCAGGCUUAACACAUGCAAGUCGAGCGGUAGCACAGGGGAGCUUGCUCCCUGGGUGACGAGCGGCGGACGGGUGAGUAAUGUCUGGGAAACUGCCUGAUGGAGGGGGAUAACUACUGGAAACGGUAGCUAAUACCGCAUAACGUCGCAAGACCAAAGAGGGGGACCUUCGGGCCUCUUGCCAUCAGAUGUGCCCAGAUGGGAUUAGCUAGUAGGUGGGGUAAUGGCUCACCUAGGCGACGAUCCCUAUCUGGUCUGAGAGGAUGACCAGCCACACUGGAACUGAGACACGGUCCAGACUCCUACUAGAGGCAGCAGUGGGGAAUAUUGCACAAUGGGCGCAAGCCUGAUGCAACCAUGCCGCGUGUGUGAAAAAAGCCUUCUGGUUGUAAAACACCUUCCCCAACAAGGAAAGAGUUGAACUUAAUACCCUCAAUUAAUUGAAGUUCAUCACAAUAAAAAGAAAAGGGUAACACCAUAGACAGCCCAAAAGCUAAAUUUGCAUGGUAAACAAUCUCGAAUUUCAAACAUUCAAGAGCGGUAUUUAUAAAACCCAGUACUAUAAGGGAAACUCUUUAAUUAGAAUUACAACCUCACAAAAACUUCAAUAAACAGAGAAAACUAUAGCGCGAGCAUAUAAUAAAUGACAUUUUAAAGGAAGAAUCAAUUAUCAAGUAUCGUAAUAUUUAUAACACGACUUUGUACUACUAUUUUAUAGG
RNAcentral lists this ribosomal RNA (763 nucleotides) under uncultured Serratia sp. RNAcentral describes it as "bacterial SSU rRNA". The stretch from base 14 to 590 matches the Rfam family "Bacterial small subunit ribosomal RNA", at positions 9 to 546 of the family's 1533-position model. The record is from RNAcentral. Lineage: Bacteria; Pseudomonadati; Pseudomonadota; Gammaproteobacteria; Enterobacterales; Yersiniaceae.